GAUGAACGCUGGCGGCGUGCUUAACACAUGCAAGUCGAACGGUGAAGGCGGAACUUGCUCUGCUGGAUCAGUGGCGAGCGGGUGAGUAACACGUGAGCAAUCUGCUCCUGACUCUGGGAUAAGCGCUCGAAAGGGCGCCUAAGACUGGAUACGAGCUGCGAAGGCAUCUUCAGCAGCUGGAAAGCAUUGCGGUCAGGGAUGAGCUCGCGGCCUAUCAGCUUGUUGGUGAGGUAGUGGUUCACCAAGGGGUCGACGGGUCGGCGGCCUGAGAGGGGGACCGGGCACACGGGGACUGAGACAGGGACCAGACUGCAACAGGAGGCAACAGUGGGGAGUAUGACACAAUGAGCGCGAGCGUGAUGCGGCAACGCCGGGGGUGUGAAGACGGCCUUCUGGGUAAAAACCUCUUUUAGCAGAGAAGAAGCGGAAGUGACGGUACCUGCAGAAAAAGCGCCGGCUAACUACGUG
This 468-nucleotide ribosomal RNA is filed under the name uncultured bacterium. Its description in RNAcentral is "partial 16S ribosomal RNA". It matches the Rfam family "Bacterial small subunit ribosomal RNA", at positions 28 to 507 of the family's 1533-position model. The record is from RNAcentral.